This 497-nucleotide ribosomal RNA is filed under the name uncultured bacterium. RNAcentral describes it as "partial 16S ribosomal RNA". It matches the Rfam family "Bacterial small subunit ribosomal RNA", at positions 28 to 507 of the family's 1533-position model. The record is from RNAcentral.
GAUGAACGCUGGCGGCGUGCCUAAUACAUGCAAGUCGAGCGAACAGACGAGGAGCUUGCUCCUCUGACGUUAGCGGCGGACGGGUGAGUAACACGUGGAUAACCUACCUAUAAGACUGGGAUAACUUCGGGAAACCGGAGCUAAUACCGGAUAAUAUAUUGAACCGCAUGGUUCAAUAGUGAAAGACGGUUUUGCUGUCACUUAUAGAUGGAUCCGCGCCGCAUUAGCUAGUUGGUAAGGUAACGGCUUACCAAGGCAACGAUGCGUAGCCGACCUGAGAGGGUGAUCGGCCACACUGGAACGGAGACACGGUCCAGACUCCUACGGGAGGCAGCAGUAGGGAAUCCUCCGCAAUGGGCGAAAGCCUGACGGAGCAACGCCGCGUGAGUGAUGAAGGUCUUCGGAUCGUAAAACUCUGUUAUUAGGGAAGAACAAAUGUGUAAGUAACUAUGCACGUCUUGACGGUACCUAAUCAGAAAGCCACGGCUAACUACGUG